GACUACUGUGCUGCUUGGACUGCUCUCUGCCAGAUUGUCCUUGGUACCUUGCCUCACUGUCCUGCCUCGUGUUCUACCCUGUUGUGCUUUUUGGUCCACUCUUCAGUCAUGUUUGUUGUGGGGGCAGUGGUCUCAGUUGGGAAGUCCAGACUUCCUGGUCCCUGGCCAUCUCUUCCACUUUUAUUGGGAGGACACCAAGGCAUUCCCAGGCCAGCUGUGAGACAUAAUCCCUCCAGGGUGUCCUAGGUCUUCCCUGGGGCCUUCUCCCUGUUGGACAUACCCAGAACACCUCAGGAAGCAGGGAAAACCACUACAGUACUCUUGGUCAUCAAUGUAACGAGAUAGACCAAAGUCGCCAAGCUUGACGCAGUCAGGAGAAGCCACCAGGAUGUUUCUCACCGCGAUGUCUCUACACAAUCCCAACAGAUUUUACAAUGACGUCGGAGAGUCCACUUCUAGAUGUGAAAGGAUAUCUGGCCAUACCUGUGCACCAUGUUGAGGCCUUCCAGGUAAGCUAAGGCUUUGCAGAUUUGCAGACAGUACAGAAUUAAAGUCGCUGUUGUCAGGAUGUACUUCUGCUCCAUCAGAUAUUUCCCCAACUGACAGUACACACAGACACACAAGGGUCACUUGGGUCAAUGAUUGCAUUACUCAGUCAAUAUUGCACUUAUUAGUUAUUGAUUUAAUCUAAUAACAAUAACGAAACCACAAUUUUAGAACUUUUAAUCCCACAAUACAGAAAUUAAAAUACAGUAAUCCGUCAUUGUCAUGGUAAUUGGGAAUUGGUAGUAGUGCUGUUUGGUAACAGCAGAAAGGACACGCACUGGCAAAUACAAAUAGACGGUGUGGACAUUGAAAGGGUGAACGAAAAUACAUUUCUGGGGAUCACAAUAGAUGAAAAUAUGAGCUGGAAACCUCAUAUUACAAAUAUACAACAUAAGGUGGCCAGAAAUAUUUCAGUAUUGAACAAAGCAAAACUUGUUCUCAAUUAGAAAUCACUCCACACUCUUUAUUGCUCUCUGGUUCUACCAUAUCUUACUUAUUGUGUGGAAAUAUGGGCUCAUAACUAUAAAAGCAAUCUUCACUCGCUAAAUAUACUGCAAAAAAGGUCAGUAAGGAUAAUUCAUAAUGCCGCCCACAGAGAACAUACUAACUCCUUAUUUCUAAAAUCACAAAUACUUAAACUUGCUGAUAUAGUUUACCUUCAAACAGCUAAAAUAAUGCAUAAGGCUAAAAAUAACCAAUUACCUAAAAAUGUCAUCCAAUACUUCUCUACAAGAGAGGAGAAAUAUGAUCUCAGGGAAGAACUAAAUUUGAAACAAAUAUAUGCUAGGACUACGUUAAAAAGCCAUAGCAUUUCAGUAUGUGGAAUCAAACUAUGGAAUGGAUUGAGUAAGGACCUCAAACAAUGCACAACGAUGAGCCAAUUCAAGAAACAAUACAAGCAGUUGAUGUUUGCUAAAUACAAGGAUGAAGAGUCUUGAACCAGUCAUGAUACGUGCUAUAUAUAUCACUAUAUUGACACUUACUAUGGUACCCAUUAUGUCAUUGUAUGGUCAUAUCACGAGGUACAUUAUUAAAAAAUAAAUAAAUAAAUAAAUAAAACUUAAACUGUAUUAUGGAAAGCAGGGAGUGAACAAAUGUAACAGUUACUGAUUGUAAAAGUACCAGAUGGAGGGGUAGGAUUUAAUAAGCUUUGCUUCUUCCUACUCCUUUUGGACAUGUGGAACUGUGAACUGAUUAUGGGAUGCACUCAAUUGUAAUCUGAUGCAUGUUCAAAUGAAAUUAAACCAUUACCAUUACCAUAAAUGGCCAGCAGUUUGUAGAAAUCCAUACACACCUCUCCAUGCUCAUAAAGCUCCAUGACAAUCCAUAUGGGGUUGACCUCAAUGACUCCAAUCAGUCGUACAAUGUAAGGGUGGUCUAGAUUUUUCAUCAAGUCUGAAAUGACAUUCAUUUAUUUCAUCCAAAAGUGACCAGUCACAUAGACACCCGUCAAUCACUGGGCACAUAAAAGCAACCCUUCACACCUAUGGACAUCAUUGGACCUAAGAUGCAUGUUUUAGGACUCACCGGCUUCACUAAGAAACUUCUCCUUUACACCCGGUGAGCAGUCCUUGCAUGUUUUAAUGGCCACUUGGAUCUUUUCCCCUGUCUUUAUUCACAACACUCAGUCACCAUGAUCAUUCUAUCACAUUUUAAAGUACAAGUCAACUCACCGGGCUUGUGUAAACACCACUGUGAACCUCUCCAAAGAAGCCCUCACCCAGGAUCCCACCCAGGAUGACAUCAGCUCGGGAGAUCCUAAGCUUCUCUGAGUCGACUAGCAAAAAGAUAUUCCAAACUUAUUCAAAAAUAAUGGAUAAUGCAGCAUUGUGAUUUUCAAGCAUUCUUCAUGUUUGACUCACCACACGGCUCCGGACUGUUCUCAGAAAUCUCAGCAUAAAUGUCUGAAUCUGACAGGACAAAAAGUUACAAGUUGAAAAGGCUCCUGUGUGGAGUGCAUAUGUUUUUGUG
Molecule: non-coding RNA, 2517 nt
Organism: Doryrhamphus excisus (bluestripe pipefish)
Lineage: Eukaryota; Metazoa; Chordata; Actinopteri; Syngnathiformes; Syngnathidae
Source: RefSeq, a predicted model, not a curated record